This 492-nucleotide ribosomal RNA is filed under the name uncultured bacterium. RNAcentral's name for it is "partial 16S ribosomal RNA". It matches the Rfam family "Bacterial small subunit ribosomal RNA", at positions 29 to 507 of the family's 1533-position model. The record is from RNAcentral.
AGUGAACGCUGGCGGUAGGCCUAACACAUGCAAGUCGAACGGCAGCACAGUAAGAGCUUGCUCUUACGGGUGGCGAGUGGCGGACGGGUGAGGAAUACAUCGGAAUCUACUUUUUCGUGGGGGAUAACGUAGGGAAACUUACGCUAAUACCGCAUACGACCUACGGGUGAAAGCAGGGGAUCUUCGGACCUUGCGCGAUUGAAUGAGCCGAUGUCGGAUUAGCUAGUUGGCGGGGUAAAGGCCCACCAAGGCGACGAUCCGUAGCUGGUCUGAGAGGAUGAUCAGCCACCCUGGAACUGAGACACGGUCCAGACUCCUACGGGAGGCAGCAGUGGGGAAUAUUGGACAAUGAGCGCAAGCCUGAUCCAGCCAUACCGCGUGGGUGAAGAAGGCCUUCGGGUUGUAAAGCCCUUUUGUUGGGAAAGAAAAGCAGCAGGUUAAUACCCCGCUGUUCUGACGGUACCCAAUGAAUAAGCACCGGCUAACUUCGUG